UCCAACAAGAAGAAAUGGGUGUAAACAAUCUAUUGCAAACCAGCAUUACAUCGAAAUAGGUUGUUCAUCAGCUGAUCAAAAGUUAACGUUUUUAAAAGCCAAAAUCUGGAUUCAAUGUCAUUUUCUGUCAUGAUUUUUCGAUGGUAAAGUCAAUAAAGCUUUCUCUCUUUGAACAUAGUCGGAUUGUUGAGCUGCAUAAGCAAGCAACCUCUCAUCUCACCAUUGCAGCCAAGGUUGGAAGCAGUAAGGCAGUCACUUGAAACUUCUUCAAAGAUGCUGAGGAUUAUGGAACAUACAGUAAAUGUCAAGUGGUAGACGCGAAAAAUGUCACAGGCUUUGAGCCAGAGGAUCCGAUUGGCUGUCCGUCAAGACACAAAUCGACCCAAAUGACGGUUGUUACUGGUUGCAAAUAAAGGGGCGGAAAAAAGGUUCUUACUGGUUCCGGGUGCAGUCCAAUAACCAUCAGAUCCCACCUGAGAUGUUUUCCUUCAAUAGCUCUUAGGGUGCAUUAAAAAACACAAUUAUUGAAUUUUGAUAUGGCUGGGUACUAAAAGUGUUCCAAUAUAUGUAGAAAUAACACAUACAAAAUAUUUUUCCAAUACAUGAUUAUUAUCGGUGCCACCAUACAUCUGUUUUUAUGGAAUAAAGUGGUGAACAGUUCAAUGGUCGCCAUGGAGAUUUGAGGUCAGCAAAGACUGCAGCUCAAGAACUCUGAGGGGGAAAACUGGCUCUUUCACCUGCAGCCCCUCUCUCUCUCUGGGAAGGUCUCUUUUCUUGACAUGGAGAACAUGGUUGGCAGGCUAAGUAACGGGCAUCGAACAAAGACAGUCGAGUGGGAGUGACGCCAUGAAUCACUGCAAAGAUGACAAACGCUGAAACAGGGACAAUGGACGGGGGACGGAGAAGACAACGAAACAUGACAACCGACCGAUCCACCCAUUCGCCGGGUCCAGAAGCCGAAAAUAACAGUCUUGGUACCCCCUCGUCCAUCUGACAUCAGCAAUAACACGUUGUUCCCACCGUGUCAAUCUACGCACUACAUCAUUCUUGACUCAAA
Doryrhamphus excisus (bluestripe pipefish) is the source of this 1057-nucleotide non-coding RNA. The record is from RefSeq and is a predicted model, not a curated record. NCBI's taxonomy places the organism in Eukaryota, Metazoa, Chordata, Actinopteri, Syngnathiformes, Syngnathidae.